Molecule: ribosomal RNA, 339 nt
Filed under: uncultured bacterium
Lineage: Bacteria
Description: bacterial SSU rRNA
Rfam family: Bacterial small subunit ribosomal RNA
Source: RNAcentral
AGCGAACGUUUGCGGCGGGCCUAACACAUGCAAGUCGAACGGGCUAGCAAUAGUCAGUGGCGCACGGGUGCGUAACACGUGGGUAAUCAACCCUUCAGCUCGGGAUAACGCCUUGAAAGGGGCGCUAAUACCGGAUACGACGCGAGGAGCUUCGGCUGCUUGCGGGAAAGAUUCGCAAGGAUCUCUGAAGGACGAGCCUGCGGCCCAUCAGCUAGUUGGUGAGGUAAGAGCUCACCAAGGCGAAGACGGGUAGCUGGUCUGAGAGGAUGAUCAGCCACACUGGAACUGAGACACGGUCCAGACUCCUACGGGAGGCAGCAGUAGGGAAUAUUGGAUAAU